GAAAGCGAUGCUAAUACCGGAUAAUAUCUUAAAAACCUCGGUUUUAAAGAUCAAAGGUGGCCUCUACAUGUAAGCUUCUGUUUGGGGAUGAGCCCGCGUACCAUUAGCUUGUUGGUAGGGUAAUGGCCUACCAAGGCUGCGAUGGUUAGNUGGUCUGAGAGGAUGAUCAGCCACACUGGAACUGACACACGGUCCAGACUCCUACGGGAGGCAGCAGUGAGGAAUUUUGCGCAAUGGGGGAAACCCUGACGCAGCAACGCCGCGUGAGUGAUGAAGGCUUUCGGGUCGNAAAGCUCUGUCNAGUGGGAAGAACCCACAUGGUGAUAAUACCGCCAUGUGUUGACGGUACCACUGAAGGAAGCACCGGCUAACUCCGUGCCAGCAGCCGCGGUAAUACGGGGGGUGCAAGCGUUAUUCGGAAUUACUGGGCGUAAAGAGCGCGUAGGCGGUCUCGUAAGUCGGGUGUGAAAGCCCGGGGCUCANCCCCGGAAGUGCAUUU
This 499-nucleotide ribosomal RNA is filed under the name uncultured bacterium. RNAcentral describes it as "bacterial SSU rRNA". It matches the Rfam family "Bacterial small subunit ribosomal RNA", at positions 153 to 628 of the family's 1533-position model. The record is from RNAcentral.